ACUUUAUCCCAAUGUAAAGGCUUCAAUUUUGGUUUCAGGGUUUCCUCAUUCCUCUCAACGCUUGCACUGCUCUGAGAUUGCUCAUUAGCUAAAAUUGGCUUUGCACUUUGAAUAAAAAGGGGCCUCGAAGAAGUAACAAGAGCCGAAGGCCCAGAACUCCCCAUAUUCACAUCCCGAGCAGGCGUUACCCCCACCGGGAUCUCCCAAAACCGCGGGGGAGGAGGGGGUGGAGGAGGUGGCGGCAGUUUUGUUGUUAGAAACUGCUUAGUAACACUCUCGAUUCUAGUGGGGGAGAGAUUAUUCUGCCCAAGAAAACCUGAAUUUCGCUCCGGAGAGUUCUGGGUAUUCCCUGAAUCUCUCCCUGAAAAGGACGGUGAAGAAGAUAAAGAAAUGGACAAUGGUGAUCGCUUUACGGACUGAAUUGGAGCAG
Molecule: unclassified non-coding RNA, 430 nt
Filed under: Hevea brasiliensis (rubber tree)
Lineage: Eukaryota; Viridiplantae; Streptophyta; Magnoliopsida; Malpighiales; Euphorbiaceae
Source: RNAcentral